RNAcentral lists this ribosomal RNA (253 nucleotides) under uncultured bacterium. RNAcentral's name for it is "partial 16S ribosomal RNA". It matches the Rfam family "Bacterial small subunit ribosomal RNA", at positions 103 to 354 of the family's 1533-position model. The record is from RNAcentral.
CGGGUGAGUAACACGUAUGCAACCUGCCUGCCACAGCCGGAUAAUCGGGAGAAAUUCCGUCUAAUACGGCAUAAUGCAUCGACGGGACAUCCUGUUGGUGCCAAAGGUUAAUUCCGGUGGCGGAUGGGCAUGCGUCGCAUUAGUUAGUUGGCGGUGUAACGGACCACCAAGACGACGAUGCGUAGGGGUUCUGAGAGGAAGGUCCCCCACACUGGUACUGAGACACGGACCAGACUCCUACGGGAGGCAGCAG